This 328-nucleotide ribosomal RNA is filed under the name uncultured eukaryote. Its description in RNAcentral is "partial 18S ribosomal RNA". It matches the Rfam family "Eukaryotic small subunit ribosomal RNA", at positions 1470 to 1796 of the family's 1831-position model. The record is from RNAcentral.
CCCUUAGAUGUCCUGGGCCGCACGCGCGCUACACUGAUGCAUGCAACGAGUUUAUAACCUUGGCCCGAAAGGUCUGGGUAAUCUUUUGAACGUGCAUCGUGAUAGGGAUAGAUUAUUGCAAUUGUUAAUCUUGAACGAGGAAUUCCUAGUAAACGCGAGUCAUCAGCUCGCAUUGAUUACGUCCCUGCCCUUUGUACACACCGCCCGUCGCACCUACCGAUUGAAUGGUUCGGUGAAGAUCUCGGACUUCGAUAUUUAUUCUUUAUUGAGUUUAUAUUGUGGGAAGUUAUCUAAACCUCAUCAUUUAGAGGAAGGUGAAGUCGUAACA